Molecule: non-coding RNA, 266 nt
Filed under: Sorghum bicolor (sorghum)
Lineage: Eukaryota; Viridiplantae; Streptophyta; Magnoliopsida; Poales; Poaceae
Description: Bacterial large subunit ribosomal RNA
Rfam family: Bacterial large subunit ribosomal RNA
Source: Rfam by way of RNAcentral
CCCAGAGACGAGUAAGGGCGUAUCAAGGGACAAAAUGCUUCGGGGAGUUGAAAAUAAGCAUAGAUCUUGAGAUUCCAAAAUAGAUGAACCUUUUGAAUUACGUGUUCAGUCCAUGCAUGAGCAGGCAAGAGACAACCUGGAGAACUGAAACAUCUUAAUAGCCAGAGGACAAGAAAGCAAAAGCGAUACCAGUUGUAGCGUUGAGCGAAAUAGGAGCAGCCUAAACCAUAAAAAUUGAAAGCAUAGGGCUUCUAAUAACUAUUGGG